Molecule: ribosomal RNA, 4688 nt
Filed under: Triticum aestivum (bread wheat)
Lineage: Eukaryota; Viridiplantae; Streptophyta; Magnoliopsida; Poales; Poaceae
Description: partial small subunit ribosomal RNA
Source: RNAcentral
CAGGUGUCGGCGGUGUGGGAGAGGAGGGGCGGAGCAGAGGAGGGCCGAGGGGGUAGAGAAGAGGGUGCAGCAGCGGAGGGGAGUGGGGCGAGCGGAGUCGGUGGAGGAUACGAGGGGGCGUGGCGGCCGAGGGAGGGAGAGCCGACUGGGGUACCGCCGCCGGCCCAGCCCCACCUCCGUUUUGUGGUACCUCUUAGGCCACAGAAACCCGCGCCGUACCCAACUACCUCGCCGCCUAAACCCGUACUAGGGUGGGAAUCCGCGAGGUGCUGCUGCCGGUCAAGCCUCCCUCUUCCAUCUUUCACUACCGCUCAGGACGCGGAGACCCACCUUCGUUGCCCCAACCAGCUCGUCGCCUACACCAGCCCCAGUCGUCAACUUCCUCCGAGCGGCCGGCCUCGUCGUCCUCCUCGCGGAGCUCCUCACCUUCCCUCUCCAGCACGUCCUGUCCGGUUGUUCUCGUAAUCUCGUUGCUCCUAUUUUAUAAGCUAGUCGGGAUAUAGAAGAAGAGCUACGUCGGGGCGUAUCCAUAGGACCCCACUAAGUUCUACGAGUCCACAUAGUGUGACGUACCAUGUGUCCAGUCAAAACGUCCGACGAGACUCUAUGUGACUAAAUCUAUGUUGGUGUACAGACGUCGUUAAAGAAUGAGAGCCAUAUUUCGAGUACCACACCCUUCGUAGAGUAUACCAAGUGGCUUAGUUAACUACUUAGACUUCGCUAAGUUCUCCUCCUCGUUUUUGACAAAUACGGAUAUCCAACAGGCUUGCUGUGGAAAUUAAGAUUAAUGGAACAAACAAGAGGAAGACACACUAUAGUGAAACAAGACAUAUCAACAGUGACCCUGUAUAUAUAGUGAAGAACGUACUUAGUACCUACAUACUUCUGUACUUCAGUCUAUAUUAUAUUUCGUUUUACGUAUACUUAUGAAAGUUCUGUCUAGAAAUACAAGUAAAUGUCCUUCUAUGUAAUAUUAUCAUAAUUACCCGCGUAAACAGGUGAUUAUACAAGUAAAUUAAACCAUUGGUUACAAAAAGCAGAGUUCAUGGUAAUCCUUGUAAACCAUCUAUUAAUAAAAUAAGUUCUACGUUGUACAACAAGACUACAUAAAACGAGAUAAGACAUUUACAAAACAAUGUUCGUUUGUACACCCAAAUACCAACGGAGUAAAGAUAUACGUAUGAAAUAUAUGCACAACUACUAAAACACCAUCAUUUGAUGAUUCAGAAGAGAAAUAUAAAACAGGUGUUCUUCACUUUGCCUUCCGGUACUUGUUGCGCAGAGGCCCUUCACUUAAAAUACCACGGAAAGUAAGACGAGUAAACCGCGUUAAAAUUUAGUGUUUCACCUCCCCUCUCCAGACCGACGAUGACCACCCUUUACCCACGGAGAGGUCAGUUGGCUCGCUGCUGUUUAGGUUGACCCUUCCCGAGACACCACUAGAAGUACAAUAGUCAUUGACAAGUACUAAAAGGACCGAUUGUCAACAAUAGAAAGUUCCGAUGCUCAAAUCAGGACAUACGUUAUGUUUUGUAAGUUCGUUUAUUAAACACGAAAUGGAAAACUUUGCGCACACGUUGUACAAAAAAAGAGAAAAUAGGUUCGAUGAUACGUUUUGACAUAACAAAAUGCCGGUAAACCAAGUGUACUCACUCGAAACACCCUGAUCCUAUCAUGUACGUACACGUCAUAAUGUCUAUGUGUUAAUCGACAACUUACUAAGAAUAAACAUCAAUAGACUUUAUAAUGAAGGACUGAAAUUUAAAUGGAAGAAAGAAAUAGGUACAUGUUCGAGUUGUGUACCACAAGAGAAGAACUAAGGACGACCUUUCGUUCGGUACGCAGUCGCAUGCCGUUGCUAAGCCCACGGACGCCGUACUACCGCGGCGUCUUCGUACGUCGCAAGAAGCUGCCGUUUGUUCCUACGUAAACAAAAGGUGAGUCAAAGAAAAACAAGGGAUACGAAAAAGAGUCUCUCUAAAGAGAUUCACUAAGAGGCAAACUACAAGAAACUAAGACAGAUUGCAUGUUAAAUAGGAGGAACGUAUAGUCGUAAAACCCGGGAGCCUAAACCUAAACGACGUCGGAGGUGUUACUCACGGUGGAAGUAGUUACCGCAGGAACCGGGGGUCUUUUUUGGCGGUUCGGUUACCUAUACACAUCUCCCGGCGUUACUCCGUCUGCCAUCGCCCACCGUCGUUAUCCCCAACUGCCUACGAGGCUCUGGUACUUCUCGGAUAAGUUACCACAUAAGGGAGGGACAAGUAAAAAACCCCCAAGGCAGAGGUCUAACCACACUAUGUUAAGACUCAACAACACGCACGCACACAACACACUACGUCUACUCUUCCUACUGUAUCGCUUACUCCUAAGGCUGUACCAUCGAGGGUGUUAGCGCGUCAACCUCUCGUACGUGCUCAAGCCAUUUGAUACAUAAGAUAACCAUAUCGAGACUUUCCAAUCCUACGAAACCCAGCGCCGGACUUGAUACAUAGACACCUAUAAUGAUGUGAAAGUCGUACGAUAAAGGAUAAAAAAUCUGUAGUUAAAGACACUUAACACCGACUUGAUACUAUGAAAUCCAACGUACGAGUUGAUACACAUCACAGUAAUGGCGAAAGAGGGGACUAACAUAACAGGAACGGUACAAUAGGGGAUUUCCGAAUGAGAACGGUACAAUAAGGGAUUUAAUAAUGAGUAAAGAAGAAAACGGUCACGAGGUGAAUACGUAGUACAUAAAUCAUGAGGGAGGUAGACUUUUAUGAACAGCUUAUUUUUACUUACAUAGAAUUUGAUUUUAUACAGAUCUAUGUUGGUAGAGAGGCUGUUCAUAAAAGCCUACCUCCCUCAUGGUUUUUACUCCAUACGAAGAAAUGUAAUUUGUCAGAAAGGAAGAGUCAUAUAUACCUUCAUAUAACCUGCCGAAGGUAUCUUAUGAACACAGACAUGAUAUAUGACCUACUUUUAUUAAAGGAACGUACGCUUGUAUACGAUUAAUCAUCGACGUGGUGUAAGGACUUCGAAAAAACUUGAUAACCCUUUGUACUCUUUCAAAAAUGUGUAUUCAUAUACCAAGAACAAAGGUAAAGUUUGUUUUGCUUCCGAUUUUCAACGAUGAAGACAUCAUGAGGAUCUAUGUUGUUAAUCACAAGUCGAUCUGACAGUUAGAAUGUCAAAAAGUGAUUGGCGACGGAGACAUCCGAAUACGGUCGCGACCACUUUUUCGUGUACCUAAACCCUUCUUUCGUUUCAACAUCGAUAGUACGUGGCACGUACGUACGUUAAUCUUAAAUGUUUUUGUUAAUCUUUAACACCAAGAUUAGUCUAAGUAACAGAAUGGUCUAGAAAACGUAUAGUCUGAGAGGAACGACUGUAGACUACUUCAACACCAGGUCCUCUUCUUACUUAUAAAAUAUCGAGAUCGAAGGGGGAAGUCUAUCAGUACGAGAGGAGGACCAAAUUGUAGGUCAACGUCACACUAUCGAAACUGUGUGAAAGUACAUUAACAAGACCAAAUUGUAGGUCGACAUCACACUAUCGAAGCUGUGGGAAAGUACCUUAACGGUGGGGGGGUGUGUGUGUAGGUGCGGGUGUGGGUGUGGGUUUACUUUACAUAUCUAGAGCGUAUAAAAUAGACAGAUGAACAAAAUACUCCUUUGUUGAGCUGAUUACCAAUGAGCCCUCAACUCUUGUUUUCAUCCACCUCACGAGUAACUAGUAAUUGACAGAAACGACAAGAGUGGUGUACCCUGGCACGUUUUUACGUUUAAAUGUUCUCUUUAGGUCACGUACACAAUACAAAGAUUUAAAAGGGAUUUAACAAAAACAUCUUAAAGAAUGGCUUGGUAGUUAGAUACACUGAUGUUCUUGGACGUGGUACGAUAACACGAAAAUCAGUACGGGUAGAAUAAAUCAAAGAGCCCAAAGAUCGGGGCGACUGAAAGGUCCACUAACAAUUCAAUUGAUUGUGAAAGAAUACAAGAGGACAAUCGCUUUGGGUAACCAACCCAUGCUAACACACAUACUUUUUAAACUACGGACCCUAUACUAGAGCAAGGAUAAAGAGUACUACGAUACAAGACGGACAAUGUACUGGAGCACAAUAUUUAGAUGAUGUAUUCAUGGAUCUCUAAGUAAAGAAAGUAAAGCCUUGGAUGUAAACUAGUCUCCUUUGAUUUUUAUGAGAUGAAGAGUACGUUCUAACAUAGGAUACACUUGACACCUCAGUAAGACCUCCAUAGCAAGAUCCUAUAAAUAAAAACAACAAGAAUCUACUUGGUAGGUAAUUUACCAAUAGUAUAAACACGCCCUUGACCUAUUUCUUACAUGGAAAGUGAAAGAGUAUCAAACAACCAACGGCGACGGUCAAACUAAAAGGAAAUCUUGCUAUUUGUUCUGUCUUCCUGUACACACCGAAGAAAUGGAAAUAUAGUACAAUAUAAACGUAGAAAUUGUGGUAGAAAAAGGUAGUUCUAACACUACCAAGUCCCGGUUUUCGUUACUUUCUAACAAAGUAAAAACUAAAGGUAGAAAUACAUCUUGAUAUGGUCGCCGACAGGAUAAUGAUAGGGCGAAUCCUAAUGGAUGUAGAGAACAGCCGGGAAUGCCAGAUUUACAAGGUACCAGAAAAAAGAACUUCGUGUAAAACAGACAGGAUGUACUGUUCCUCAAACCUCACGGUUAUCCCA